CCUACGGGUGGCUGCAGUGGGGAAUAUUGGACAAUGGGCGAAAGCCUGAUCCAGCCAUGCCGCGUGUGUGAAGAAGGCCUUCGGGUUGUAAAGCACUUUCAGUGGGGAAGAAAGCCUUGGGGCUAAUACCCUCGAGGAAGGACAUCACCCACAGAAGAAGCACCGGCUAACUCCGUGCCAGCAGCCGCGGUAAUACGGAGGGUGCGAGCGUUAAUCGGAAUUACUGGGCGUAAAGCGCGCGUAGGCGGUCUGAUAAGCCGGUUGUGAAAGCCCCGGGCUCAACCUGGGAACGGCAUCCGGAACUGUCAGGCUAGAGUGCAGGAGAGGAAGGUAGAAUUCCCGGUGUAGCGGUGAAAUGCGUAGAGAUCGGGAGGAAUACCAGUGGCGAAGGGGGCCUUCUGGACUGACACUGACGCUGAGGUGCGAAAGCGUGGGUAGCAAACAGGAUUAGAUACCCUGGUAGUC
Molecule: ribosomal RNA, 465 nt
Filed under: Vreelandella stevensii
Lineage: Bacteria; Pseudomonadati; Pseudomonadota; Gammaproteobacteria; Oceanospirillales; Halomonadaceae
Description: partial 16S ribosomal RNA
Rfam family: Bacterial small subunit ribosomal RNA
Source: RNAcentral